This 768-nucleotide ribosomal RNA is filed under the name uncultured bacterium. Its description in RNAcentral is "bacterial SSU rRNA". It matches the Rfam family "Bacterial small subunit ribosomal RNA", at positions 8 to 771 of the family's 1533-position model. The record is from RNAcentral.
AGAGUUUGAUCCUGGCUCAGAUUGAACGCUGGCGGCAUGCCUUACACAUGCAAGUCGAACGGUAACAGGUCUUCGGAUGCUGACGAGUGGCGAACGGGUGAGUAAUACAUCGGAACGUGCCCGAGAGUGGGGGAUAACGCAGCGAAAGCUGUGCUAAUACCGCAUACGAUCUACGGAUGAAAGCAGGGGAUUCGCAAGGACCUUGCGCUCAUGGAGCGACCGAUGGCAGAUUAGGUAGUUGGUGGGAUAAAAGCUUACCAAGGCGACGAUGGUUAGCUGGUCUGAGAGGAUGAUCAGCCACACUGGAACUGAGACACGGUCCAGACUCCUACGGGAGGCAGCAGUGGGGAAUUUUGCGCAAUGGGGGAAACCCUGACGCAGCAACGCCGCGUGGGUGAUGAAGGCCUUCGGGUCGUAAAGCUCUGUCUGGAGGGAAGAAAUGAUUGGGAGCUAAUACCUCUUGAUCUUGACGGUACCUCUGAAGGAAGCACCGGCUAACUCCGUGCCAGCAGCCGCGGUAAUACGGAGGGUGCAAGCGUUGUUCGGAAUUAUUGGGCGUAAAGCGCGUGUAGGCGGUCUUUUAAGUCUGAUGUGAAAGCCCCGGGCUCAACCUGGGAAGUGCAUUGGAAACUGGGAGGCUUGAGUACGGGAGAGGAGAGUGGAAUUCCUAGUGUAGGAGUGAAAUCCGUAGAUAUUAGGAGGAACACCGGUGGCGAAGGCGGCUCUCUGGACCGAUACUGACGCUGAGCGCGAAAGCGUGGGGAGCAA